AUCUAUUAGUCUUGACCAAAUCAUGUGCCAGCCGUCGCGGUAAGACAUGGAAGACGAGCGCUAUUCAUCUUUAACAGGUUUAAAGGGUACUUAGACAGUUAAUUAAGCCUACAUAAGGGACUGACUAACUAGAGUUUAAUAGGAAAAGGAUAGAACGGUAUGUGGAGAGAUAAAAUAUUUUGAUACUUGCUAAAAUCUGACAACGGCGAAGGCAACCUUUUAUGUAAAAACUGACGUUAAAGGACGAAGGCUAUAAAUAAAGAAUAGGAUUAGAUACCCUAGUAUUCGUAGCAGUAAAUGAUGAGUGUCAUAGGUAAGUAAUAGCUUACGUAUAAAUGAAAGUGUAAACAUUCCACCUUAAGAGUAAAAUGGCAACAUAGGAACUGAAAUCAUUAGACCGUUUCUGAAACCAGUAGUGAAGUAUGUUAGUUAAAUUGAUGAUCCACAAAGAACCUUACCACAAUUUGAAUGUAAAUUCACAGGAGUUGCACGGCUGUCUUCAGUUGAUAUCGUGAGAUUUUGGUUAGCUCCAUUUAAUCAA
Molecule: ribosomal RNA, 541 nt
Filed under: Porina lucida
Lineage: Eukaryota; Fungi; Ascomycota; Lecanoromycetes; Ostropales; Porinaceae
Description: SSU rRNA
Rfam family: Bacterial small subunit ribosomal RNA
Source: RNAcentral